AUUGAACGCUGGCGGCAUGCCUUACACAUGCAAGUCGAACGGCAGCACGGGUGCUUGCCCCUGGUGGCGAGUGGCGAACGGGUGAGUAAUACAUCGGAACAUGUCCUGUAGUGGGGGAUAGCCCGGCGAAAGCCGGAUUAAUACCGCAUACGAUCUACGGAUGAAAGCGGGGGACCUUCGGGCCUCGCGCUAUAGGGUUGGCCGAUGGCUGAUUAGCUAGUUGGUGGGGUAAAGGCCUACCAAGGCGACGAUCAGUAGCUGGUCUGAGAGGACGACCGGCCACACUGGGACUGAGACACGGCCCAGACUCCUACGGGAGGCAGCAGUGGGGAAUUUUGGACAAUGGGCGAAAGCCUGAUCCAGCAAUGCCGCGUGUGUGAAGAAGGCCUUCGGGUUGUAAAGCACUUUUGUCCGGAAAGAAAUCCUUGGCCCUAAUACGGUCGGGGGAUGACGGUACCGGAAGAAUAAGCACCGGCUAACUACGU
RNAcentral lists this ribosomal RNA (485 nucleotides) under uncultured bacterium. Its description in RNAcentral is "partial 16S ribosomal RNA". It matches the Rfam family "Bacterial small subunit ribosomal RNA", at positions 30 to 506 of the family's 1533-position model. The record is from RNAcentral.